UCUCCUCCCCCUCUGUGUUUUUUCUCUCCCGUCCGUCGCCCUCCAAACUUCCAUACCUCACGCCACCGGCCACCCCAAGCCGCAAGACCGGAGCCAAAAAGACCGGCGUCACACCGCCACCACACCCGGCCCAGCCCGCUGCCAGCCGCUGCCGUUCAGCCGCCAGAAACUGUAAAACUCGAGCCAAUUUUGCACAGUUUUGCAACCUCUCAUUCUCCUUCAAUUCUCCUCCAAAUUUGUCGAGUAAGGUAUGGAUUUCUACCUAUUUUCCAUGCUCUAGCUGAUGGUUGGGUAGGUUUGCAUCGAUUUUGACUGUAGAUAGCUCUGUUUGUAAUUUGGAAUUCGGCCAGUUUUCAGCCUCCAUGUUCGGCCACUUCCGGUCAGUUUUUGGGGUAGGUCCAAGAACAAAAGUGGUUCCAAAUAUGGUGUUAUACCUAGGAUAGGAGUUUGGAGCCGUAGUUUUGAGAUUUUCCGGCGAUGCGUAAUCGCUUUGGACACCCAGCGCUGCCGGGGCGUGCGGCGGCUCGUGGGCGAGGGUGGUGCAGUGACACUGUGUCUUGAUACGAUCCUUAGGUCGUCACGAGUGCAUAGGAAUUCGCGGAUCUCAAUUUGGAUACCGUUUGAGCCUCGAACGGAUUUUCUAUAUUUUGUGAUUUUCGGGUUCAAUACUGUUGAGCCGUUGGAUCGUAAUCAAUUUUAGAUAUGUUACUCUAGAUAAUUUUAGAAACGUGUAGGAUUCGACGGAUCGUGAAUCGGAGUCCCGGAUACUCCGAAAUAGCGAACCCUAGGGCUAGGAUUUAGGAAUUAAGCGAUUACACGAUCAUGAUCAAUCCGACUGUUCGAUUGACACCAAUACCCUUGGGACAUGUGUCCUAGAUAUAUUGGACCUUCUAGCGGCUUCCGGAUCAUAUUGUGAGGUCAUGGACCUGUGGGGUCCCGGGUUGACUUUUUGGAUGUUAGCGCUUUUUGAGUCCCAAGAUACCGCUAAACUAUCCCACGUGGAAGGAAAGCUGUUAUGGGCAUAGGGAUAACUUUAAAUUGACGCACGUACUUUUAGGAGCCGGGGGUAGGGUUUUUCAUUUAAUACUAUAUUGUAUUAAUAGAAUAUUAUGGUCAUUGAAUCAGGCACCCGGGCACCAGUUGACCCGCAGAAGGGACCUUCAAGAGGUCCAGCGAGCUCAGACUAUCAGUGAGUGGACUCUUUGUUUUUAUAAAUGAAUUUAAGCAGUUCAACUUCAGUUAUAAGCUGUUUUAUUCUGUUAACUAUUUUAUGUUGCAUGCUGCCGAGUGAAAUCCCCUUUAACGAAGAUAGGAAAAGAUAUACUCGUUAAUUAUCAGAUAAAUGGCAGCAGAAUUUUAAACGUUACAGAAAGUUAAUUAUUCAACAGAUUUUCUUCAGAAACUUUAUAUUUUCUUCAACCACCUUGUACCCAAAUAUUAAAUGUUGCCUUCGGAUUAUAUUUGUUGCCUUCGGUUUAGUCAGCAUGCUUGACAGUUGCCCCACGAGUUCCUUGGUACUCGAACUCGUGUGGAGUAAGUAAUGCGGAUCAGGUGAACUACGGUCCCCUGCAUCCUGCGAGUUGCGGCUCGGACUGACUUCGUGUCACUGAGACCUGCGAGUAUGUGUCACCCAUGGUGAUGCAAGGAAUUGACGGAUAUAAGGAUUUGACGGAAAUAAGGGUACACCUAGGUGAUAGUUUUCAACUGUUUUCAAAUGUAUAGUUAUAUACAUGCAUUGAUUUCAGAAAUAAAGAAAAUAAGCUAGUUUGUAUAACUGUUUUUACAGUGGGGUUAGUAUGUUCAUGUGUUAUUUUCUAAAUUUGUUUUUGGGUCCACUCACCCUUUUUGUUGUUUUGCACCCCCAGGCAAUAGACGUGCACAUGAAUCCACCACCGGGCCACUUCCCAUCUUCUGCGCUUUUCUUAUGAUGUAGGAUUUUUGUUUGUAAAAGGAUUCACUCCUUUGUAAAUUCUUAGUAGUCGCUCUGAUAUUUUGCCCUAAACUGAGAAUUGAACUGUUGGAAUGUAUAUAUACGCAUGCUGGC
Molecule: long non-coding RNA, 2044 nt
Filed under: Prunus persica (peach)
Lineage: Eukaryota; Viridiplantae; Streptophyta; Magnoliopsida; Rosales; Rosaceae
Description: long non-coding RNA (PPER_LNC007152)
Source: RNAcentral